AUGAAUUUAUCACAUCUGUAGUUGUAUAAUGAUCAUAACAAUCUGAUUUCACAGGAUUUCCAUCCCACAGCCCAAGCUCAUCCCCCAACCCCCAAACUGUCUCCUCUGGAGACCAUAAGUUUUUCAAUGUCUGUGAGUCAGCAUCUGUUCUGCAAAGAAGUUCCGUCUGUCCUUUUUUCAGAUUCCACAUGUCAGUGAAAGCAUUGGAUGUUGGUGUCUCAUUGUAUGGCUGACUUCACUUAGCAUGAUAAUUUCUAGGUCCAUCCACGUUGCUAAAAAUGCUGGUAUUUCAUUCUUUUUGAUGGCUGAGUAAUAUUCCAUUGUGUAUAUGUACCACAUCUUCUGGAUCCACUCCUCUGUCGAUGGACAUUUAGGUUGUUUCCAUGUCUUGGCUAUUGUAAAUAGUGCUGCAAUGAACAUUGGAGUACAUGUGUCUUUGCAAGUCAUGGUUUUCUCUGGAUAGAUGCCCAGGAGUGGAUUUGCUGGAUCAAAUGGUGGUUCUAUGUUUAGUUUUCUGAGGAAUCUCCAUAUUGCUUUCCACAGUGGUUGCACCAAUUUGCAAUCCCACCAACAGUGUACUAGUGUUCCUUUUUCUCCACACUCUCUCCAGCACUUCUUGUUUGUAGACUUUUGGAUGAUGGCCAUUCUGGCUGGUGUAAGGUGGUACCUCAUAGUGGUACCAUUUGAUUUGCAUUUCUCUAAUAAUGAGUGAUGCUGAAUUUCAUGUGUUUCUCAGCCAUCUGUAUGUCUUUUUUGGAGAACUGUCUGUUUAGAUCUUCCGCCCAUUUUUGGAUGGGGUUGUUUGUUUUUUUGGUAUGGAGCUGCAGAAGUUGUUUAUAAAUUUUGGAGAUUAAUCCCUUGUCAGUUGAUUCAUUUGCAAAGAUUUUCUCCCAUUCUCUGGGUUGUCUUUUUGUGUUUAGGGUUUCCUUUGCUGUGCAGAAACUCUGAAGUUUCAUUAGGUCCCAUUUGUUUAUUUUUGUUUUUAUUGUCAAUACUCUAAGAGGUGGAUCUGAGAAGAUGUUGCUGUUGUUUAUGUCAGAGAGUGGUUGGCCUAUGUUUUCCUCUAACAGUUUGAUAGUGUCUGGUCUUAUAUCUAGGUCUUUAAUCUAUUUUGAGUUUAUUUUUGUGUAUGGUGUUAGGGAGUGUUGUAUUUUCAUUCUUUUCCAUGUGGCUGUCCAGUUUUCCCAGCACCACUUAUUGAACAAGCUGUCCUUUCUCCAUUGUAUAGUCUUGCUUCUUUUGUCAUAGAUUAGUUGGCCGUAAGUGCAUGGGUUUAAUUCUGGGCUUUCUAUCCUGUUCCACUGAUCUAUAUGUCUGUCUUUGUGCCAGUACCAUGCAGUUUUGACGACUGUUGCUUCGUAGUAUAGUCUGAAGUCCGGGAGCCUGAUUCCUCCAGCUCCAUUUUUCUUUUUCAGGAUGUCUUUGGCUAUUCUGGGUCUUUUGUACUUCCAAAAAAACUUUAAAAUAUUUUGUUCAAGUUCUGUGAAAAAUGUCCUUGGUAAUUUGAUAGGGAUUGCAUUGAAUCUGUAGAUUGCCUUGGGUACUAUAGUCAUUUUGAUAAUAUUAACUCUUCCAAUCCACGAGCAUGGUAUAUCUUUCCAUCUAUUUGUGUCAUCUUUGAUUUCUUUCAUCAGUGGCUUGUAGUUUUCAGAGUACAGGUCUUUUGUUUCUUUAGGUAGGUUUACUCCUAGGUAUUUUAUUCUUUUGGAUGCGAUGGUAAACGGGAUUGCUUCCCUAAUUUCCUUUUCUGCUUUUUCAUUGUUAGUAUAUAGAAACGCUGUUGAUUUUUGUGUAUUGAUUUUGUAUCCUGCAACUUUGCCAAAUUCGUGGAUAAGCUCUAACAGUUUUCUGGUAGAGUCUUUAGGAGUCUCUAGGUAUAGUAUCAUGUCAUCUGCAAAUAACGAUAGUUUUACUUCUUCCUUUCCAAUUUGGAUUCCUUUUAUUUCUUUCACUUCUCUGAUUGCUGUGGCUAGGACUUCCAGAACUAUGUUGAAGAGUAGUGGCAAGAGCAGACAUUCUUGUCUUGUUCCUGAUCUCAGCGGGAAUUCUUUCAGCUUUUCACCAUUGAGAAUGAUGUUCGCUGUGGGUUUGUCAUAUAUGGCCUUAUCAGAAAUGGGUGUUGGAUUUUGUCAAAGGCUUUUUCUGCGUCUGUUGAGAGGAUCAUAUGGUUUUUAUUCUUCAGUUUGUUAAUGUGGUGUAUCGCACUGAUGGAUUUGCGGAUAUUGAAGAACCCUUGCAUCCCUGGGAUAAAUCCCACUUGAUCAUGAUGUACAAUCUUUUUAAUGUAUUGUUGGAUGUGGUUUGCUAGUAUUUUGUUGAGGAUUUUUGCAUCAAUGUUCAUCAGUGAAACUGGCCUGUAGUUUUCUUUUUUUGUGGAGUCUUUGUCUGGUUUUGGUACCAGGGGGAUGGUGGCCUCAUAGAAUGAGUUCGGGAGUAUCCCUUCUUCUACAAUUUUUUGAAAUAGUUUCAGAAGGAGAGGUGUUAGCUCUUCUCUAACUGUUUGAUAGAAUUCGCCUGUGAAGCCAUCUGGUCCUGGACUUUUGUUUGUUGGAAGUUUUUUCAUCACAGUUUCAGUUCUUGUGAUGGGUCCAUUCAUCUUUUCUAUUUCAUCUUUCUUUAGUCUUGGAAGAUUGUACUUUUCUAAGAAUUUGUCCAUUUCUUCUAGGUUUUCCAUUUUAUUGGCAUAUAGUUGCAUAUAGUAGUCUCUUAUGAUCCUUUGUAUUUCUGUGGUGUCCAUUGUUACUUCUCCUUUUUCAUUUCUAAUUUUAUUGAUUUGAGUCCUGUCUCUUUUUUGCUUGAUAAGUCUGGCUAGGGGUUUAUCAAUUUUGUUGAUCUUUUCAAAGAACCAGCUUUUCGUUUCAUUGAUCUUUUCUGUGGUUUUUCUUGUUUCUAUUUCAUUGAUUUCUGCUCUGAUCUUUAUGAUUUAUGUCCUUCUACUAACUUUAUGUCUUGUCUGUUCCUCUCUCUAAAGCUGCUUUAGAUGUAAAGUUAGCUUGUUUAUUUGGACUUUUUCUUGUUUCCUGAGGUGGGCUUGUAUUGCUAUAAACUUUCCUCUUAGAACGGCUUUUGCUGCAUCCCAUAGGUUUUGCAGUGUUGUAUCUUCAUUGUCAUUUGCUGCUAGGUAUUUUUUAAUUUCCUCUUUGAUUUCUUCAGUGAUCCAUUGAUUGUUUAGUAGCAUGUUGUUGAGUCUCCACGUGUUUGUGUUUUUUGCAGUUUUUUUCUUGUUGUUGAUUUCCAGUCGUAUAGCGUUGUGGUUGGAAAAAGAUGCUUGAUAUGAUUUCAAUUUUCUUAAAGUUACUGAGGUUGGAUUUGUAGCCCAGGAUAUGGUCAAUCUUAGAGAAUGUUCCAUGUACAUUUGAGAAGAAUGUGUAUUCUGUUGCUUUUGGAUGGAAUGUCCUAUAAAUAUCUAUUAAGUCCAUCUGGUUUAAUGCUUCAUUCAGGGCCUGUGUUUCCUUAUUGAUUUUCUGUCUGGUUGAUCUGUCCAUUGAUGUAAGUGGGGUGUUCAAGUCCCCCACUGUGAUUGUGUUAUUGUCGAUUUCUCCUUUUAAGGUUGUUAGCAGUUGCCUUAUAUAUGGUGGUGAACCUGUGUUGGGUGCGUAGAUAUUUAAAAUUGUUAUAUCAUCUUCUUGGAUUGAUCCUUUGACCAUUAUGUAAUGUCCUUCUUUGUCCCUGAAAAUAUUCCUCAUUUUAAAGUCUAUUUUGUCUGAUAUGAGUAUUGCUACUCCAGCUUUCUUUUGAUCCCCAUUUGCAUGAAAUAUUUUCUUCCAUCCUUUCACUUUCAAUUUGUAUGUCAUAUAUAAGGAUCUUGUUUUUGUAUCCAUUCAGCCAGCCUGUGUCUUUUGGUUGGGGUGUUUAGUCCAUUCACAUUUAAGGUAAUUAUUGAUAUGUAUGUUCUUAUUGCCAUUUUAUUAAUUACUUUGGAUUUGUUUUUGCUGCUGUUUUCCCUUUCCUUCUUCUCUUGUUCUUUUCUGCCUAUAGAAGUUCCUUUAGUAUUUGUUGUAAGGCUGGUUUAGUGUUGCUGAAUUCUCUCAGCUUUUGCUUAUUUGAGAUUUUGAUUUCUCCUUCAAAUCUGAACGAGAGCCUUGCUGGGUAGAGUAAUCUUGGUUGGAGGUUUUUUCCUUUCAUCACGUUGAGUAUAUCAUGCCACUCCCUUCUGGCCUGCAGAGUUUCUGUUGAAAAAUCUGCCAAUAGCCUUAUCGGGGUUCCCUUGUAUGUUAUUUGUUUCUUUUCCCUAGCUGCUUUCAAGAUUUUCUCUUUGUCUUUAAUUUUGGUCAGUUUGAUUAGUAUGUGUCUCGGGGUGUUCCUCCUUGGGUUUAUUUUGUAUGGCACUUGUGCUUCCUGGAUUUGAGUGAGUGAUUCCUUCCCCAUGUUAGGGAAGUUUUCAGCUAUUAGCUCUUGGAAUAUUUUUUCUGUCUCCUUCUCUCUCUCUUCUCCUUCUGGCACCCCUAUAAUAUGGAUGUUGGUGCGUUUCACAUUGUCCCAGAGUUCUCUGAGACUCUCUUCAUUUGUUUUCAAUCUUUUUUCUCUUUUCUGUUCUGCAUCCGUAAUUUCCACUAAUCUGUCCUCCACCUCGCUUAUUCGUUCUUCUGCCUCCUGUAUUCUGCUGUUAGCUGCUUCUAGUGAAUUUUUUAUUUCCAUUAUUGUAUUUUGCAUCUCUUCUUGUUUAAGUUUUAUAUCUUGUAUCUCUUUGGUCAGUGUUUCCUGUAAGUUAUCCAUCUUUGCCUCCAGUUUAUUUUCAAUGUCUUGUAUCUUCUUCAGCAUCAACAGUCUAAAGUCUUUUUCCUGGAGGCUGAGAAUCUCCUCAUGGCUUAGCUGUUUUUCUGGGGUUUUUUCUUUCUCCCUCAUCUGAGUUAUAGUUCUCUGUUUUUUCAUUUUUAUAGGUUUUUGGUGCGGUGACCUUCUUACAGAUAAUAGAGUUGUAGCCUCUCUUACUUCUGAUGUCUGCCCCCCUGUGGCUGAAGUCAGUAUGGGGGCUUGGUGUAGGCUUCCUGAUGGGAGGGGCUGAUGCCUGCCCCCUGGUAGGAGGAGCCGAUUCUAAUCCCUCUGGUGGGUGGGGCUUAGUCUCUGGAUGGGAUUAGAGGCAGCUGUGUGCCAGGGGUCUUUAGGCAGCCUGUUUACUGAGAGGCAGGCUGUGAUCCCACCUGGGUUGUUAUUUGCCCUGGGGCUUCUCAGUAGCUGGCUGAUGGGUGGGGCCAGAUUUUCCCAAAAUGGCCACCUCCAGAGAAAGGCAGCUGCUGAAUAUUCCUGAGAGCUUUGCCUUCAAUGUCCUUCCCUCACAACAAGCCACAUUCACCCGUUUUCCCAGGAUGUCCUUUAAGAACUGCAGUCAGGUUUGACCCAGAUUCCCUUGGAGACUUUGCUUUGCCCUGGGACUCAGUGCACGUGAAAGUCUGUGUGCGCCUUUUAAGAAUAGGGUCUCCAUUUCCCCCAGUCCCGUGGAGCUCUUGCGCACAAGCCCCACUGGCCUUCAAUGCCAGAUGCUCUGGGGCUCUUUCUUCCUGUGCCAGAUACCCACACGUGAGAGUUUGAUGUGUGGCUCAGAACUCUCACUCCUAUAGGUGAGUCUCUGUGAAUCAGUUAGUUUCCAGUCUGUGGAGCUUCCCACCCUGGAGGUAUGGGGUUGUUUAUGUCACGAAAUUGUCCCUCCUACCUCUUGAUGUGGCCUCCUCUUUGUCUUCUGGAGUAGGGUAUCUUUUUUAAGGUUUCCG
Molecule: long non-coding RNA, 5708 nt
Filed under: Sus scrofa (pig)
Lineage: Eukaryota; Metazoa; Chordata; Mammalia; Artiodactyla; Suidae
Description: lncRNA (ENSSSCG00000054823.1)
Source: RNAcentral